GGCUGGAUAGCUCAGAUAGUAGAGCACGCGUCUCAUAAACGCGCGGUCGCCGGUGCGAGUCCGGCUCCAGCCA
This 73-nucleotide transfer RNA is filed under the name Pyrinomonadaceae bacterium. RNAcentral describes it as "tRNA-Ile". It matches the Rfam family "tRNA". Rfam says of the family: Transfer RNA (tRNA) molecules are approximately 80 nucleotides in length. Their secondary structure includes four short double-helical elements and three loops (D, anti-codon, and T loops). Lineage: Bacteria; Pseudomonadati; Acidobacteriota; Blastocatellia; Blastocatellales; Pyrinomonadaceae. The record is from RNAcentral.